CUACCCGGGUUUCUAAUCCUGUUUGCUCCCCACGCUUUCGUGCCUCAGUGUCAGUGUUGGUCCAGGUAGCUGCCUUCGCCAUGGAUGUUCCUCCUGAUCUCUACGCAUUUCACUGCUACACCAGGAAUUCCGCUACCCUCUACCACACUCUAGUCGCCCAGUAUCCACUGCAGUUCCCAGGUUGAGCCCAGGGCUUUCACAACGGACUUAAACGACCACCUACGCACGCUUUACGCCCAGUAAUUCCGAGUAACGCUUGCACCCUUCGUAUUACCGCGGCUGCUGGCAC
RNAcentral lists this ribosomal RNA (289 nucleotides) under uncultured Stenotrophomonas sp. Its description in RNAcentral is "partial 16S ribosomal RNA". The record is from RNAcentral. Lineage: Bacteria; Pseudomonadati; Pseudomonadota; Gammaproteobacteria; Lysobacterales; Lysobacteraceae.